UAGUGUCCACAUCAGCCCCCAGUACCCACCUCAGCCCCCCGUACCCACCUGAGUAUAGGGGGCUGAGGUGGGUACUGGGGGCUGAUGUGGACGC
Molecule: microRNA precursor, 94 nt
Filed under: Pelobates cultripes (western spadefoot toad)
Lineage: Eukaryota; Metazoa; Chordata; Amphibia; Anura; Pelobatidae
Source: RNAcentral